Long non-coding RNA from Anopheles stephensi (Asian malaria mosquito), 664 nucleotides. RefSeq lists it as uncharacterized. The record is from RefSeq and is a predicted model, not a curated record. The transcript has 2 exons. Lineage: Eukaryota; Metazoa; Arthropoda; Insecta; Diptera; Culicidae.
UGUAGUUAGCCUGCUUCGAUUAGUGUGCACUACCAACCUGACGCCACCGUAUCGAGCCACCAAACGUCAAAUGGUCCGCUGAAAUCAAAACUGCCGUCUGAUAAGAAUCAGACCGCUGCGGUCACCAAGAACGAGACCGGAUAAACCUCCCUUUCGCUUGGGCAGCGCUCUAAAAAUAUGUGUCAAUGUGUCAAACACGACCCAGCAGCACACCAGCAGAGAGCAGUGGUGACGCGCAUUUGGGAAGCAGAUCAGGGGAGCGGGAAGCCUCCCCCCCCCCCUCGCUUGCUGUCACCGACUGCAAGGUCUGCGGAGUGCUCUGUGCAGCUGCUCCCCCUGACUGGCCUGAAGCCUUCCGCGGACCCGGAGAUGGUCUAAGGCGAAUCUAACGAGUUCACCGGUAUGGUAUGGUCGUGUCGUGGCGGAGCUCGAUCGUUCGCCGGAGAACGUACGCCGCAGCGUAUAUAGGCUUUCAAGUUCAAGUGUAACGGAGCGAACGAAAGGAACUGACGGUUGGUGGCUCUCGCACUUGGCAGGUUGGCAAGCCGUUUGCGAUACCUUCCCCCGAACGCGUGAAGGUCGUGACCUUGGGUCGGUCAUCAGAAAUAAAAUAUAACUGGAGCAAUGGAGUACGGUGCGUGUUCUACCAGGCAACGGAAUAGCG